RNAcentral lists this ribosomal RNA (440 nucleotides) under uncultured bacterium. Its description in RNAcentral is "partial 16S ribosomal RNA". It matches the Rfam family "Bacterial small subunit ribosomal RNA", at positions 338 to 795 of the family's 1533-position model. The record is from RNAcentral.
CCUACGGGUGGCAGCAGUGAGGAAUAUUGGGCAAUGGACGCAACUCUGACCCAGCCAUGCCGCGUGAGUGAAGAAGGUUUUCGGAUUGUAAACCUCUUUUGGAUGUGACGAUGAUGACGGUAGCAUCUAAAGAAGCCCCGGCUAACUUCGUGCCAGUGGCCGAGGUAAUACGAAGGGGGCAAGCGUUGUUCGGAAUAACUGGGCGUAAGGGGAGUGUAGGGGGUUUAGUAAGAUAGGGGUGAAAUCCCAGGGCUUAACUUGGGAAUUGCCAUUAUAACUAUUAGACUAGAAUUACAGAGAGGAUAGUGGAAUACCCGGUGUAGAGGUGAAAUGCGUAGAUAUUAGGUAGAACACCAGUGGCGAAGGCGACUAACUGGCUGUACAUUGACGCUGAGGCUCGAAAGCAUGGGGAUCAAACAGGAUUAGAUACCCCUGUAGUC